Molecule: ribosomal RNA, 405 nt
Filed under: uncultured bacterium
Lineage: Bacteria
Description: bacterial SSU rRNA
Rfam family: Bacterial small subunit ribosomal RNA
Source: RNAcentral
UGGGGAAUAUUGGGCAAUGGGGGCAACCCUGACCCAGCGACGCCGCGUGAGGGAAGACGGCCUUCGGGUUGUAAACCCCUUUUGUACGGGAAGAAGGAAGUGACGGUACUGUACGAAUAAGUCCCGGCUAACUACGUGCCAGCAGCCGCGGUAAUACGUAGGGGACGAGCGUUGUCCGGAAUUACUGGGCGUAAAGGGCGCGCAGGCUGUGCUGCAAGUCAGCUGUGAAAUGUCUGGGCUUAACCCGGGCAUGCGGUUGAGACUGCAGUGCCGGAGUGCUGUAGAGGCAAGUGGAAUUCCCAGUGUAGCGGUGAAACGCGUAGAUAUUGGGAAGAACACCGGUGGCGAAGGCGACUUGCUGGGCAGCAACUGACGCUGAGGCGCGAAAGCCAGGGGAGCAAACGG